GCCGGAGUGGCGAAACUGGCAGACGCGCGGGACUCAAAAUCCCGAGGGGCUCACGCCCCGUGUGGGUUCGACCCCCACCUCCGGCACCA
Molecule: transfer RNA, 89 nt
Filed under: Acidobacteriota bacterium
Lineage: Bacteria; Pseudomonadati; Acidobacteriota
Also listed under: 1 other name
Description: Acidobacteria bacterium tRNA-Leu
Rfam family: tRNA
About the family: Transfer RNA (tRNA) molecules are approximately 80 nucleotides in length. Their secondary structure includes four short double-helical elements and three loops (D, anti-codon, and T loops). Further hydrogen bonds mediate the characteristic L-shaped molecular structure. tRNAs have two regions of fundamental functional importance: the anti-codon, which is responsible for specific mRNA codon recognition, and the 3' end, to which the tRNAs corresponding amino acid is attached (by aminoacyl-tRNA synthetases). tRNAs cope with the degeneracy of the genetic code in two manners: having more than one tRNA (with a specific anti-codon) for a particular amino acid; and 'wobble' base-pairing, i.e. permitting non-standard base-pairing at the 3rd anti-codon position.
Source: RNAcentral